AGGAGCUGACUUGAGGCCACGUGACAAGAUUGAAAUGGAACCGAACCUUAGUUACCUCACCUCAGCACCUCACACAUUCUUCGCCGACUCUCUCAAAAGCUCUACCACCACGCCACAACCAGCGCCAGCUUGCGUGCCACACGCUUUCAAGCAAAGCACAACCACACUUGAACCGAGCCACCCCUGCCCCCGAGGAAUAACCCUGUUGGUUUAUAUUAUAACCAUCGACCACCUUAACCUUAAAUCCUAGGUAGCUAGCUUUUACUAUUGUGUCGGCAACCGGUUGAGGAACAAAAAAACAGAGGAGGGUGCAAGCAGGGUGGUGGAUGAUGAUGGAAGGGGUUUCGAGGGAGGCUCAGAUGUCGAUUGCUGCUUCUUCCAUGUUUCCUGGAUUCAGAUUCUGCCCCACUGAUGAGGAGUUGAUUUCUUAUUACCUUAGGAAGAAGAUGGAUGGCCAUCAAGAGAGUGUUCAAGUCAUUUCUGAGGUUGAACUUUGUAAAUACGAGCCUUGGGAUUUACCAGCCAAAUCAUUCAUUCAAUCAGAUAACGAAUGGUUCUUCUUCUCUCCCCGAGGAAGAAAGUACCCAAAAGGUUCACAAAGUAAAAGAGCAACUGAAUGUGGAUAUUGGAAGGCAACUGGCAAAGAGCGUAAUGUAAAGUCAGGUUCUAACGUUAUAGGAACGAAGCGGACUUUGGUGUUCCACUUAGGGCGUGCACCUAAAGGGGAGAGGACCGAAUGGAUUAUGCAUGAGUACUGCAUCAAUGAAAAGUCUCAGGAUUCUUUGGUCAUUUGUCGCCUCAAGAAGAACACAGAGUUCCGUUUGGGCGAUUCUUCGAAUAGAGCUUCAUCAAGUCAAAGGCACCCCGUGAAUUCACAUGAAAGUGGUUGUGCCAUCUCAGAGGGUGGUAUUGAUCAAAGGGAUGCUUGUGAGCAAGACAAAUAGGUAGGAUGUAGCUCCAAGAGGGACAGUUGCAGUUAUGGUUCUCCUUCAAUGGAGCAAAUUGAUUCUGUGUCCGAACCGAAUCAGAGACCGGUUAGUGAAGCUACUUUGGCAGUGUCUUCAGGCCAACCAAAGGAGAGAUAUGAAGAGGAUUGUUAUGCUGAGAUACUAAAGGAUGAUAUCAUUAAAUUAGAUGAAUCAUCAAUCUCGGUAGAGGGUCACACAAGACCACAGGAUCCUAUACAGAUGCAUCCUUCACCACAAGGCACAUCACAACGGAGAAUAAGAUUAAGGGUUGGGAAUUCAAAGCAUUCUCCUGCAGUAGUUCGUUUCCCUUGCACAAUGCACUCGUCAAAGAGUACCUUCUUCGCCAGAAUAACCAUUAGUUUGGUGGUAUUUCCUUUCUUUGUCUUCACUUUGACAGUUCUAUAUUUUUUGUCUUUAGUGGGUGGAAACAAACAAGUGAAAUAUUGUGGGAAAUUUUCUGGUUUAGGAACCAUGUCGAGGCCCAUGUUGCUUGUUUUCUUGCUGAUUAUACUUAUAAUCACCUCACAGUUCGAGUGGAAGCAGCAGCUUGUGGCCGAUGUUGACUCUAACCCCAGCGUGUCGCAGAAGCAGCAUCAGAUUUCCAAGGCUGGAGAAACCGUUAAGGAGAAGAUUAUUUUAGUGCAAGAGAAGAAUAUUCGAAGACUGAAUGAGCUAGUUCGGCAUCUCCAGGAGCAACUGCAGCAGUGUAGAGGACGCAAUGGAACUAUAAAUGGCACUGUAAGCCCUCUAGCUGAGCGGAUUCUUGAGCUUGAGCGACAGCAAAUUUUAGAGGAUUAAGCAAAUGCAGCAAGUAUGGUAAAUGAUGUUCAUUGUUAUGCUCAAGCUGUGAAGUUGUUCCUUAAUUCGUUUGGAGUGAACGUUGUAGAAGAUUUGUUCCCUAUCUGAUCAAUUAUGAUUUUCAACUCUAUCUCAAUGGAAAGUGAAGUAUUGUAAUCUUGCUCAAAAAGUUGUUGAAUGAUAUAGAAGCAUUAUAUCUUAUACCGGUUAGAUCGUUUCUGUAGUUUAACAUUUUCACAUUUCUCUCUUGACAUCUAAUACUGCCGUCCUUUUGGCACAUAUAAUUGAGGAGAUCUUUGAGUAAA
Molecule: RNA transcript, 2071 nt
Organism: Glycine soja
Lineage: Eukaryota; Viridiplantae; Streptophyta; Magnoliopsida; Fabales; Fabaceae
Gene name: NAC domain-containing protein 40-like
Exons: 6
Source: RefSeq, a predicted model, not a curated record